This 651-nucleotide ribosomal RNA is filed under the name uncultured bacterium. RNAcentral's name for it is "bacterial SSU rRNA". It matches the Rfam family "Bacterial small subunit ribosomal RNA", at positions 93 to 740 of the family's 1533-position model. The record is from RNAcentral.
GACCGGCAAACGGGUGCGGAACACGUACACAACCUUCCUUUUAGUGGGGAAUAGCCCGGGGAAACCCGGAUUAAUACCCCGUAACAUAAUGAAGUGGCAUCACUUUAUUAUUAUAGCAGCAAUGCGCUUUAAGAUGGGUGUGCGACUGAUUAGGCAGUUGGCGGGGUAACGGCCCACCAAACCUACGAUCAGUAACUGGUGUGAGAGCACGACCAGUCACACGGGCACUGAGACACGGGCCCGACUCCUACGGGAGGCAGCAGUAAGGAAUAUUGGUCAAUGGACGCAAGUCUGAACCAGCCAUGCCGCGUGGAGGAUGAAGGUCCUCUGGAUUGUAAACUUCUUUUAUCUGGGAAGAAAUCCACGAAUUCUUUUGUGGUUGACGGUACCAGAUGAAUAAGCACCGGCUAACUCCGUGCCAGCAGCCGCGGUAAUACGGAGGGUGCAAGCGUUAUCCGGAUUCACUGGGUUUAAAGGGUGCGUAGGUGGGUUGGUAAGUCAGUGGUGAAAUCUCCAGGCUUAACUUGGAAACUGCCAUUGAUACUAUCAAUCUUGAAUACCGUGGAGGUCAGCGGAAUAUGUCAUGUAGCGGUGAAAUGCUUAGAUAUGACAUAGAACACCAAUUGCGAAGGCAGCUGGCUACACGAAUAU